UGGGGAAUAUUGGGCAAUGGGCGCAAGCCUGACCCAGCAACGCCGCGUGAAGGAAGAAGGUCUUCGGAUUGUAAACUUUUGUCGCCAGGGACGAUAAUGACGGUACCUGGUAAGAAAGCCCCGGCUAACUACGUGCCAGCAGCCGCGGUAAUACGUAGGGGGCGAGCGUUGUCCGGAAUUACUGGGCGUAAAGGGCGCGUAGGCGGCUUGUUAAGUUAGAUGUGAAAUCCCCGGGCUUAACCUGGGUGUUGCAUUUAAAACUGACGAGCUUGAGUGCAGGAGAGGAAAGCGGAAUUCCUAGUGUAGCGGUGAAAUGCGUAGAUAUUAGGAGGAACAUCAGUGGCGAAGGCGGCUUUCUGGACUGUAACUGACGCUGAGGCGCGAGAGCGUGGGGAGCAAACAGG
This 404-nucleotide ribosomal RNA is filed under the name uncultured bacterium. RNAcentral's name for it is "bacterial SSU rRNA". It matches the Rfam family "Bacterial small subunit ribosomal RNA", at positions 355 to 776 of the family's 1533-position model. The record is from RNAcentral.